UCGACCGGCCACACUGGGACUGAGACACGGGCCCAGACUCCUACGGAGGCAGCAGUGGGGAAUAUGGCACAAUGGGCGAAAGCUGAUGCAGCGACGCCGCGUGAGGGAUGAAGGCUUUCGGGUGUAAACCUCUUUCAGCAGGGAAGAAGCGCAAGUGACGGUACCUGCAGAAGAAGCGCCGGCUAACUACGUGCCAGCAGCCGCGGUAAUACGUAGGGCGCAAGCGUUGUCCGGAAUUAUUGGGCGUAAAGAGCUCGUAGGCGGUUUGUCGCGUCUGGUGUGAAAACUCGAGGCUCAACCUCGAGCUUGCAUCGGGUACGGGCAGACUAGAGUGCGGUAGGGGAGACUGGAAUUCCUGGUGUAGCGGUGGAAUGCGCAGAUAUCAGGAGGAACACCGAUGGCGAAGGCAGGUCUCUGGGCCGCAACUGACGCUGAGGAGCGAAAGCAUGGGGAGCGAACAGGAUUAGAUACCCUGGUAGUCCAUGCCGUAAACGUUGGGCACUAGGUGUGGGGCUCAUUCCACGAGUUCCGUGCCGCAGCAAACGCAUUAAGUGCCCCGCCUGGGGAGUACGGCCGCAAGGCUAAAACUCAAAGGAAUUGACGGGGGCCCGCACAAGCGGCGGAGCAUGCGGAUUAAUUUGAUGCAACGCGAAGAACCUUACCAAGGCUUGACAUGCACGGGAAGCCACCAGAGAUGGUGGUCUCUUUGGACACUCGUGCACAGGUGGUGCAUGGUUGUCGUCAGCUCGUGUCGUGAGAUGUUGGGUUAAGUCCCGCAACGAGCGCAACCCUCGUCCCAUGUUGCCAGCGGGUUAUGCCGGGGACUCAUGGGAGACUGCCGGGGUCAACUCGGAGGAAGGUGGGGAUGACGUCAAAUCAUCAUGCCCCUUAUGUCUUGGGCUUCACGCAUGCUACAAUGGCCGGUACAAAGGGCUGCGAUACCGUAAGGUGGAGCGAAUCCCAAAAAGCCGGUCUCAGUUCGGAUUGGGGUCUGCAACUCGACCCCAUGAAGUCGGAGUCGCUAGUAAUCGCAGAUCAGCAACGCUGCGGUGAAUACGUUCCCGGGCCUUGUACACACCGCCCGUCAAGUCACGAAAGUCGGUAACACCCGAAGCCCAUGGCCCAACCGUUAGAGGAGGUAGCCACUCUAC
RNAcentral lists this ribosomal RNA (1151 nucleotides) under bacterium BCL18. RNAcentral's name for it is "bacterial SSU rRNA". It matches the Rfam family "Bacterial small subunit ribosomal RNA", at positions 300 to 1460 of the family's 1533-position model. The record is from RNAcentral.